GAUGAAGAACGUAGCGAAAUGCGAUACGUAAUGUGAAUUGCAAAUUCAGUGAAUCAUCGAGUCUUUGAACGCACAUUGCGCCCCCGGGUAUUCCGGGGGGCAUGCCUGUCCGAGCGUCAUUGCUGCCCUCAAGCACGGCUUGUGUGUUGGGCCCCGUCCUCCGAUCCCGGGGGACGGGCCCGAAAGGCAGCGGCGGCACCGCGUCCGGUCCUCGAGCGUAUGGGGCUUUGUCACCCGCUCUGUAGGCCCGGCCGGCGCUUGCCGAUCAACCCAAAUUUUUAUCCAGGUUGACCUCGGAUCAGGUAGGGAUACCCGCUGAACUUAAGCAUAUCAAUAAGCGGAGGA
RNAcentral lists this unclassified non-coding RNA (345 nucleotides) under soil metagenome. Its description in RNAcentral is "partial contains 5.8S ribosomal RNA, internal transcribed spacer 2, and large subunit ribosomal RNA". The stretch from base 1 to 119 matches the Rfam family "5.8S ribosomal RNA", at positions 35 to 154 of the family's 154-position model. The record is from RNAcentral.